RNAcentral lists this long non-coding RNA (981 nucleotides) under Eucalyptus grandis. RNAcentral's name for it is "long non-coding RNA (EGRA_LNC000775)". The record is from RNAcentral. Lineage: Eukaryota; Viridiplantae; Streptophyta; Magnoliopsida; Myrtales; Myrtaceae.
UGGCAUACCUUUUAUGGCGAUCUUGUUAGCCCUACUGAGAUGGAUGAUGUUAUAUCUGAAACACAUCCUUCCUUAGUAACCAAGACCCUUGCGCUCCCCACUUCUGAAGUGCCUCUCUCACCCUCUGGGCUUAAUGACCAGCAUGUUGGAGCCUCCUCUACUCAUCGAUAAAAAACUGCCCUGUUUCCCUCGAGUGGUACAACCCCUGCAUCAUCAACUCAGCCAAGUGUUAUGCAAGACCUCCACAUGUCUGAGAAGGUGCAGCCACAACAAUCUGGACAAAUUGUUGUCAUAUCUCAGCCAGCACAAAGAAGGGAUCAUUAUAUGCAGGGGGAAAAGUUAAAAGGCACCUCAGAUCAGCAGGGUCAUCUUCAGGUUGAAGCUGCCUUGCUUAAAAUGAAGUCCUCUGUUUCAGUAGUACCUACUGCUCUCAAUGUUCCAGCAGCAGAUUCAUCAAAACCAGUCAAAUUAAAGAGUCCUCACAGGCUUACCAGAGGUAGCCCCCAGAAAAAAGCUAAGAGGUUCUCGCCUUAUGAAUCGCUUGCUCCUGGAUUACCUGUUUUGGAUGACAACCAACUAAUGGACAACCCUAUCCUUGAAGCCGAAGGGGUUGACAAUUGGGCGAUGGUGGCUUGCCUUAAAAAGCCACCAAGGGAUAGAUGAAGUUUGUAAGUUGGAACUGUCAAGGGCUGGGCAACCCCUUGACAGUUCAAGCUCUUAAGGACCUCGUGGUCCAUGAUCGGCCCGACUUUUUGUUUUUGAUGGAAUCUAAAAACCAGGACUCCUUUUUAUCUAGAGUACAAAGGAGAUUGCAUUACCAGCAUAGCUUUUUGGUGUCCCCUGUCGGUCUAGUUGGUGGUUUGGCUGUCUUUUGGAAUGACCCUCUCUCUGUUAGUGUGGAUGACUCCUCAGCCCACUAUAUUGACCUGAUCUGCUCUGGUCCCCAUGAAGGAAGCCCAAUGCGUCUCACUUGCAUCCAUG